CUCUGUGCAGACAGAACGCGUCUCGCCGAGGUGUCGCGGCUGCUAAGCCCGGCCGCCCGCCCCAGUUAUGCCCGGCGUGGAAUAUGCCGUGAGGGCAGCUCCCAGCAGGAUUUCACAGAAUCACAGAAUCAAGUGUUAAAGAAGAGCUGCAGAAGAAAGUAGUUUGUUGACCAAAGUAUCAAUAUCCUAUCUCUACAUACUGGAUAAUGCUGAAGAAAGGCAAAUGUUUACUCGGCUGGACAUUGUGUGUGUUUGGAUUUCUCAAGGAUUCUCCCCCGACUAACAUGGAUGUCCCACCAUUCCUUGCAGUUGAAGGUUGCUCCUUGGCGCAGUGAAUGAAGAACAUGCAGGGAUUGCUAAUGGGUUUGGGAAGCGUAGACUCUCUGCUGUCUCUGUGACCAUGCCGUGAUCGUGUCUGAGGGCCAUCAGUUUACGUAUCCUCAUUCCAACCCUACCGGGAAACCUGACGGCUUAGAAGGGGGAAGUAAGGCAGCGCGUGUGUGCAUAGAAACAUCAUGAAGAUUAUUUCCCAUAUUGUAACUAAUUCAGUCUUCAGAUGCACCAUUAGACUUCUUCUUUGCUUACUGUGGAUUGGAUAUUCUCAAGGAACCACACAUGUAUUAAGAUUUGGUAAGAUUUCCCGACACUUUUUUCAUUGUGUGUUUAAGCCUGAAUGUGAUAUACGUGGGAUUGACUCAGAAGGGGGUGCUGGGGGAGAGCUGGGACGUGCUGCCGGAGUCGGGCAUCGGUCAUCCCUCUUAAUUUUGCAUCCGGAGGGAUGAAUUGCUGUGUGAUUUUUUUCUUUUUUUUCUGUCGCUGCUGCUCAUUGUAGCCGUAGUAACGGCACGAUGGUGAUGAUAAUUAUAAUAACAAUAGAAAAAAGACUGGCAAACGCGGUUGCCUAAGGCUCUGCGCAGCUUGCGUGGCUUCCUCGUAAUUGUUUCCAUUGUUUUUCUUUAUUGUUUCCAUAGUAAGGGAAAGCAUGGCUAAUACGGUGCUUGAUCAGUUAAAAACCUGUCAAGUAGUUGUUAAGUUUCGGCCGUCCGUCUCUGAUGCCCCCCCGAGCCGAUCCCGUGCGGGCGUAACGCUGUGAUUUGAGACCUUUGGGCUGAUUUCCCUUGAAGUAUCUGUCUGUUUGCUUGACACUUGAGUGGCGUUUAGGGUUAGAGAAGAGAUGAUUUAUGUCUUGAGCGGUGCUCGGGGAAGAGCUUUUGCGGUACUUUUCAAAAGCACAGCUUUUCUAUGCGAGGAAAGUUGUGGGAGUACCUCCCUCUCCCGAGGGAAAAAAAAAAAAAAAAAAAAAAAAAAAAGAAAAAAAAAAAAAAAAAGGCAAAAAAGCAGAUCAGAGAUCAGAAUGGUAUUUCAAGAAUAGAGAUGGUUUACAGUUUAAAAGUUAUCCCAGCUGGACCAGGGCACUAACCUUAAGAGCUCAGGCUGUGCAAGCGCGCGUUCGUGUGUCUAAACAAGCAAGCGAAAGACAAAUUCCAGCCGCUGCACUCCCCACAGAAGUUUUGCAGUGAGGAAAGGACGGAAAGUUCGGAAAGCAGGUCCGAAGGGGUCAGUGCGGCCGGGGAUGUCCUUCGGUGCUAGUCCGGGGCGAGCCACGAUGGGGGUCCCGCCUCAGCCUCCUCCUAGUCGCCCAGGCACCGCAGGCGAGCCGCGGCGGGGGCGGCCAGGAAGGGACAGGCUGAAUAUCGGUCCCCCGUACAAGCGGCAUCCUCCGUGCCUGCCGACAGCACCGCUGAAGGGAGGAAAAGCGAAUCGUCCACAUUCGCGCUGUCCGCGAUAAACUGUGGCAGCCGCUGCAUCCAUUUCUGUGGGGCACAGGAAUCUCUUCCCUUUGCCUGGGAAUAAUGCCUUGGUUUGUAUCUAUUCUAGUUUAACUCAGCACCCCCGCACACACUUUUGUAUGGAGGGGAAGGUGAGUAAUGAUUAAAAAGUCACCAGGCUGUUACCAAUCUCGUGUGCUGAAUUCUUAGCAGUACUUUUUUUUUCUGCUUUCAUCUGGUCUAAAGGUGGUGCUUAAGACACGUUGCUCUUAGCAACUGUCCUCAGGAAUGCCCGUGUCUUUGGACAUGGAUAAACGGGACAGUAUAACAUUGUGGGGUCUAUUUUGCGAUCAGUCCGAUCCAUAAUCAUGGCCGUGAAUUUAGUGCCUGUAAUCUGGCACUGUCUGUCUUUCCACGGGCGCCGGGAGUCUGUCUCUAGGAGCCUGAGUUACUUUCAGGUAUAGCUGUAUAAACAAACAUCUUCCUGGUCACGGCACUAGCAAGAGGUGGACUUUCCUUCUCUGGAGCGGCAUUCCCUCUGAAUUGUUAGUCUCCUCUAGAGACAGCCCUAGGGAGCAGCGGUCUGGCAAGCGUUAGAGCAAUAAAUAAUCCCGGGGCUGAAAGCGAUGCAGAGGGGCUCUGAUACUCGGUGGCAUGGUGGUGCACGUGUAUGUUUUACUGGGCUGACUUCCCUUCCCAACUGCGUCCUGGUCACACAGCUGGCCAACGAGU
This is a long non-coding RNA of Prinia subflava (tawny-flanked prinia), 2501 nucleotides long. RefSeq lists it as uncharacterized. Lineage: Eukaryota; Metazoa; Chordata; Aves; Passeriformes; Cisticolidae. The transcript has 3 exons. The record is from RefSeq and is a predicted model, not a curated record.